GAUGAACGCUGGCGGCGUGCCUAAUACAUGCAAGUCGAGCGAAAAGAUGAGGAGCUUGCUCCUCUGACGUUAGCGGCGGACGGGUGAGUAACACGUGGAUAACCUCCCUAUCAGACUGGGAUAACUUCGGGAAACCGGAGAUAAUACCGGAUAAUAUAUUGAACCGCAUGGUUCAAUAGUGAAAGACGGUUUUGCUGUAACUUCUCGCUGGAUCCGCGCCGCAUUGGCUAGUAGGUAAGGUAAAGGGUUACCACGGCAACGAGGCGUAACCGAGGGGAGAGGGGGGUCGGCGACACGAGAACGGAGACGCCGUCCAGAGUACUACGGGACGCAGCAGUAGCGAACCUGCCGCAGUGGUCGAAAGCCUUACAGAGUAGCGCCGCGUGAGAGAUGAAGAUCUUCGGAUCGUAAUACUCUGUUAUGAGUUAAGAACAAAUGUGUAAGUAACUAUGCACGUCUUGACGGUACCUAGUCAAGAAGCCACGGCUAACUACGUG
RNAcentral lists this ribosomal RNA (497 nucleotides) under uncultured bacterium. Its description in RNAcentral is "partial 16S ribosomal RNA". It matches the Rfam family "Bacterial small subunit ribosomal RNA", at positions 28 to 507 of the family's 1533-position model. The record is from RNAcentral.